AACGAACGCUGGCGGCAUGCCUAACACAUGCAAGUCGAACGAGACCUUCGGGUCUAGUGGCGCACGGGUGCGUAACGCGUGGGAACCUGCCCUUAGGUUCGGAAUAACUCCCCGAAAGGGGUGCUAAUACCGGAUAAUGUCUUCGGACCAAAGAUUUAUCGCCUUUGGAUGGGCCCGCGUUGGAUUAGCUAGUUGGUAGGGUAAAAGCCUACCAAGGCGACGAUCCAUAGCUGGUCUGAGAGGAUGAUCAGCCACACUGGGACUGAGACACGGCCCAGACUCCUACGGGAGGCAGCAGUGGGGAAUAUUGGACAAUGGGCGAAAGCCUGAGCCAGCAAUGCCGCGUGAGGGAUGAAGGCCUUAGGGUUGUAAAGCUCUUUUACCCGGGAUGAUAAUGACAGUACCGGGAGAAUAAGCUCCGGCUAACUCCG
RNAcentral lists this ribosomal RNA (431 nucleotides) under uncultured bacterium. RNAcentral describes it as "partial 16S ribosomal RNA". It matches the Rfam family "Bacterial small subunit ribosomal RNA", at positions 29 to 505 of the family's 1533-position model. The record is from RNAcentral.